UGGGCUGGUCCACAGUUGACUUUGUUCCCUACAUACGGCCUCUUCCACUUGCAGUACCAGAUACGCUUUCCAGAAGAAGAGCCUCUCGAGCUAGCCUACUGCAGCUGUAGGCAGGGCCUCUGCGGCGGAGUACCCGGAGUGGCCAUGUCGCGAGUGUUGGGAGACCUGUAAAGACACUGGAGGCUGUGGAGCACGAGUGAAGUGUGCUGGCAUGACUGUGCCUACCUGGGAAUGGGGUGUAGGACAAAUGAGAUUUACAUGCACAUUGGGGGGAUACCGAGUAUUGGAAAAAAGACCAACUUGGCACCAAGAUGGGAUACAGAUGUUACAACUGUGAACCCACGUCAACGCUGACUGUAAACUUCAGCCAUCCUGCAAUCUUGGGGAGCCUAACAGCUCUACCCGGCUGACUUUUAAUAUGGAAAGAUAUGUUUGUGCAUGCAGAAGUUACAGAGAUCUCGGGGAAACUCCAGCUCCGUGGCCAGGACAUGAAGAGAAGAGAAACUUCAAAGACUCACAGCAACAGAAGUGCUGGAAGCGACUGGGGCGUGAGAUGUUCAUCUGCAUCUCGGGAGAUGUGAAUCCUCUUACUUAG
RNAcentral lists this long non-coding RNA (595 nucleotides) under Struthio camelus australis. RNAcentral describes it as "lncRNA (ENSSCUG00000011821.1)". Lineage: Eukaryota; Metazoa; Chordata; Aves; Struthioniformes; Struthionidae. The record is from RNAcentral.